GUGGUGUAGGGGUAAAAUCCGUAGAGAUCACCAGGAAUACCGAUGGCGAAGGCGAUCUGCUGGAACAAUACUGACGCUGAGGCGUGAAAGCGUGGGAGCAAACAGGAUUAGAUACCCUGGUAGUCCCACGCCCUAAACGAUGAACACUAGUCGUCGGGAUGCUAGUCAUCUCGGUGAUGCACUUAACAGAUUAAGUGUUCCGCCUGGGGAGUACGGUCGCAAGAUUAAAACUCAAAGGAAUAGACGGGGACCCGCACAAGUGGUGGAGCAUGUGGUUUAAUUCGAAGAUACGCGAAGAACCUUACCUAGCCUUGACAUUGAAGAAACACAGUAGAGAUACAGUGGUGCCCUUCGGGGAAUCUGAAAACAGGUGCUGCACGGCUGUCGUCAGCUCGUGUCGUGAGAUGUUGGGUUAAGUCCCGCAACGAGCGCAACCCUCGUCCUUAGUUGCUAGCAGUUCGGCUGAGCACUCUAAGGAGACUGCCUUCGUAAGGAGGAGGAAGGUGAGGACGACGUCAAGUCAUCAUGGCCCUUAUGGCUAGGGCUACACACGUGCUACAAUGGGGCGUACAGAGUGUUGCGAUACCGCGAGGUGGAGCUAAUCACUUAAAGCGUCUCUCAGUUCGGAUUGGAGUCUGCAACUCGACUCCAUGAAGCUGGAAUCACUAGUAAUCGUAGAUCAGCAAUGCUACGGUGAAUACGUUCCCGGGUCU
Molecule: ribosomal RNA, 713 nt
Filed under: uncultured bacterium
Lineage: Bacteria
Description: bacterial SSU rRNA
Rfam family: Bacterial small subunit ribosomal RNA
Source: RNAcentral